Molecule: ribosomal RNA, 828 nt
Filed under: uncultured bacterium
Lineage: Bacteria
Description: bacterial SSU rRNA
Rfam family: Bacterial small subunit ribosomal RNA
Source: RNAcentral
AGAGUUUGAUCAUGGCUCAGAAUGAACGCUGGCGGCACGCUUAACACAUGCAAGUCGAACGGGAUCUUCGGAUCUAGUGGCAGACGGGUGAGUAACGCGUGGGAACCUGCCCAGUAGUAGAGGACAACUUGGGGAAACUUAAGCUAAUACUUUAUACGUCCUUCGGGAGAAAGCUUUAUGCGCUAUUGGAUGGGCCCGCGUUAGAUUAGUUUGUUGGUGAGGUAAUGGCUCACCAAGACUACGAUCUAUAGCUGGUCUGAGAGGAUGAUCAGCCACACUGGGACUGAGACACGGCCCAGACUCCUACGGGAGGCAGCAGUGGGGAAUAUUGGACAAUGGGGGCAACCCUGAUCCAGCGAUGCCGCGUGAGUGAUGAAGGCCCUAGGGUUGUAAAACUCUUUCGUCAGGGAAGAUAAUGACGGUACCUGAAGAAGAAGAUCCGGCUAACUCCGUGCCAGCAGCCGCGGUAAUACGGAGGGAUCUAGCGUUAUUCGGAAUUACUGGGCGUAAAGCGAGCGUAGGCGGAUUUGUAAGUUGGAGGUGAAAUCCCAGAGCUUAACUCUGGAACUGCCUUCAAAACUACAUUUCUUGAGUUUGGUAGAGGAGAGUGGAAUUCCUAGUGUAGAGGUGAAAUUCGUAGAUAUUAGGAGGAACACCAGUGGCGAAGGCGACUCUCUGGGCCAAUACUGACGCUGAGGUUCGAAAGCAUGGGUAGCGAACAGGAUUAGAUACCCUGGUAGUCCAUGCAGUAAACGAUGAGUGCUAGAUGUUGGGAAUUUAAAUUUCCAGUAUCGCAGUUAACGCGUUAAGCACUCCGCCUGGGAAGUA